CACACACACACACGCACGCACGCACACGCACUCCACACACACAAUGGGCAUGGGGAAUGGGCAUGCGCACACGAUAAGGCCACCAAUUUUAAGAAUAUUCUAGAAGGGAAACGGCGGGAAAACAGUUGUGAGCUCUGCUACAGCUACAACAGCAGUUGUGAAAACAAAUCAACCAGCAAAAGAUCUAGUGUUACAGAGAGAGACACAAGCUAGCCCCCAAGUUUUACGACUUUGAACCCAGAAAGGGGUUCACACACACACACACACACACACACACACACACACACACACACACACACACACAUACACACACACACAUAUGGCAUGACAUUGCAAUAGAUGGAGUUUUAGAAUUAAAGUUCUGGGAACGCGCAAGUGCGCAUGUGCGCACGCAGCUACGACCCCAAUGUUGUAGAAAAAUAAAAAAUAAAAUCUGUAAAAUAGCUUUAAAAUAGUAGAUGUAAUGUAAAUAGAUGCGAGCUAACCCCCUCCCCAAAAUGGAUGAGAAAGUAAUAAAUCAUCUUCAGCAUCUUCUUUGUUUUCUGGGUAUAAAACACCUAAACCUCUUUGACGGGACACAAAGGCAUGGAACGUACGGUUGACGAAGAUGGAGCAUGGUAUGGAGCUUUAACUUUGACUUUUGUCUUUCUACCAAAAAAGUGAACUAUAGUAUUUAUUUUAUUUUAGAAAAUAACAUUUCAUCCGAGGUUCAGCCUAUUACUUCUCCUUCUGACCAACAAGUCCUAUUUCCCGUGACUCCUGAAGAGUUUGAGGGCAUCGAUUCCACACAAACAGACCCCGACUUUCAUAUAUAGAUCUUCUAGACGGAGCGACGCUGCUGCAGAGUGUUAGAACGCCUGUAUCUAACUAUCUAUUAGAUGGUGAUGCAGGAAGCACUCUGAGCACUCCUCCAGCAACGACUCAUCCCCGUGCAAACCGUCUGCGAUUAGGACGACGCAACCGCCCUACUUUUGCAGGAAAUUCUGCCGCCACUACAACUGGAGCAUCGGAGCCCAGGCCUUCAGUUUCUCCUCUCGGGAGUCCUGUGUCAGAGCUACCUAGACCAAAAAAACCCUACGUCCAUUAUAAAGUUGUGGAACAAAGGAGCUGUGGGACCGAAACCCUGGAGCCAGCAGUACAGCCGACGCGGGAAGGCCGGUGCUGUGAGACUGGAUCCGCAGAGCCUGAAGCACAGAGCUGUGAAACACGAUCCGUGGAGCCAGCAGUGCAGCCUGCGAGGGAGGGAGUCGCCUUACACCCACUGAGUGCGGACGAACGUGAGAGACUUGAAAGCUUUUACCUGCUUUAUGAGAUUGCUGAUUUCAUUAAGAAACCGGACGAUCGUGAGACACUGCAAAGGUUGGACGUGCUUUGUGAAAUUGCUGAUUUCAGGAGGAAAAAGUCCUAAACGUGUGGUGUGACAUUUAAAAUAAACUAAAAAUGGAUGAAGAAAACUUUUCUUUUGGUCUGUCUGAUUUAGAGUUUAUGGUUGAGCAAUUGAAUCAAAUCUCCCCACCUCCUCCUGUAGAUGUAGCCGUUGCUAAUGUGG
This is a long non-coding RNA of Larimichthys crocea (large yellow croaker), 1549 nucleotides long. RefSeq lists it as uncharacterized. The transcript has 5 exons. The record is from RefSeq and is a predicted model, not a curated record. NCBI's taxonomy places the organism in Eukaryota, Metazoa, Chordata, Actinopteri, Sciaenidae.